RNAcentral lists this ribosomal RNA (468 nucleotides) under uncultured bacterium. RNAcentral describes it as "partial 16S ribosomal RNA". It matches the Rfam family "Bacterial small subunit ribosomal RNA", at positions 28 to 507 of the family's 1533-position model. The record is from RNAcentral.
GACGAACGCUGGCGGCGUGCUUUACACAUGCAAGUCGAACGGAAAGGCCCUGCUUUUGUGGGGUGCUCGAGUGGCGAACGGGUGAGUAACACGUGAGUAACCUGCCCUUGACUUUGGGAUAACUUCAGGAAACUGGGGCUAAUACCGGAUAGGAGCUCCUGCUGCAUGGUGGGGGUUGGAAAGUUUCGGCGGUUGGGGUUGGACUCGCGGCUUAUCAGCUUGUUGGUGGGGUAGUGGCUUACCAAGGCUUUGACGGGUAGCCGGCCUGAGAGGGUGACCAGCCACAUUGGGACUGAGAUACGGCCCAGACUCCUACGGGAGGCAGCAGUGGGGAAUAUUGCACAAUGGGCGGAAGCCUGAUGCAGCAACGCCGCGUGCGGGAUGACGGCCUUCGGGUUGUAAACCGCUUUCGCCUGUGACGAAGCGUGAGUGACGGUAAUGGGUAAAGAAGCACCGGCUAACUACGUG